This 466-nucleotide ribosomal RNA is filed under the name uncultured bacterium. Its description in RNAcentral is "partial 16S ribosomal RNA". It matches the Rfam family "Bacterial small subunit ribosomal RNA", at positions 28 to 507 of the family's 1533-position model. The record is from RNAcentral.
GAUAAACGCUGGCGGCGUGCUUAACACAUGCAAGUCGAACGGAAAGGCCACAGCUUGCUGUGGUACUCGAGUGGCGAACGGGUGAGUAACACGUGGGUGAUCUGCCCUGUACUUCGGGAUAAGCUUGGGAAACUGGGUCUAAUACCGGAUAGGAAUCACAUGUGGGUGUGUGGUUGGAAAGCUUUUGCGGUAUGGGAUGAGCUCGCGGCCUAUCAGCUUGUUGGUGGGGUAAUGGCCUACCAAGGCGUCGACGGGUAGCCGGCCUGAGAGGGUGUACGGCCACAUUGGGACUGAGAUACGGCCCAGACUCCUACGGGAGGCAGCAGUGGGGAAUAUUGCACAAUGGGCGCAAGCCUGAUGCAGCGACGCCGCGUGGGGGAUGACGGCCUUCGGGUUGUAAACUCCUUUCGUCAGGGACGAAGCGAAAGUGACGGUACCUGGAUAAGAAGCACCGGCUAACUACGUG